This 186-nucleotide long non-coding RNA is filed under the name Lonchura striata (white-rumped munia). RNAcentral describes it as "domestica (Bengalese finch) lncRNA (ENSLSDG00000008009.1)". Lineage: Eukaryota; Metazoa; Chordata; Aves; Passeriformes; Estrildidae. The record is from RNAcentral.
UCGCUUUGCGCUAUUUCCGGAAGGUUUUCUCCCACCCUCGAGUCCUCUCUGGAGCACAAGUUCUGUUCCUAAAGCAGACAAGGAGUGAGUGUAACCUCCAGGUGUGUGCACAGGGUAAGUUUGGGAAGGUCAGUGGCUCCUGUCCCUGGGAAGGGACAGAGGAAGGGACAGCACCUGAGUAGCCUC